UACAGAGGUCUCAAGCGUUGUUCGGAUUCAUUGGGCGUGAAGGGCGCGUAGGCGGCGGGGUAAGUCGGGUGUGAAAUCUCAGGGCUCAACCCUGAAACUGCACUCGAUACUGCUCUGCUUGAGGACUGGAGAGGAGACUGGAAUUCACGGUGUAGCAGUGAAAUGCGUAGAGAUCAUGAGGAAGACCAGUGGCGAAGGCGGGUCUCUGGGCCGAUACUGACGCUGAGGAGCGAAAGCGUGGGGAGCGAACAGG
This 253-nucleotide ribosomal RNA is filed under the name uncultured bacterium. RNAcentral describes it as "partial 16S ribosomal RNA". It matches the Rfam family "Bacterial small subunit ribosomal RNA", at positions 524 to 776 of the family's 1533-position model. The record is from RNAcentral.